This 441-nucleotide ribosomal RNA is filed under the name Pantoea eucrina. RNAcentral describes it as "bacterial SSU rRNA". It matches the Rfam family "Bacterial small subunit ribosomal RNA", at positions 1011 to 1451 of the family's 1533-position model. The record is from RNAcentral. Lineage: Bacteria; Pseudomonadati; Pseudomonadota; Gammaproteobacteria; Enterobacterales; Erwiniaceae.
UUGGUGCCUUCGGGAACUCUGAGACAGGUGCUGCAUGGCUGUCGUCAGCUCGUGUUGUGAAAUGUUGGGUUAAGUCCCGCAACGAGCGCAACCCUUAUCCUUUGUUGCCAGCGGGUAAUGCCGGGAACUCAAAGGAGACUGCCGGUGAUAAACCGGAGGAAGGUGGGGAUGACGUCAAGUCAUCAUGGCCCUUACGGCCAGGGCUACACACGUGCUACAAUGGCGCAUACAAAGAGAAGCGACCUCGCGAGAGCAAGCGGACCUCAUAAAGUGCGUCGUAGUCCGGAUCGGAGUCUGCAACUCGACUCCGUGAAGUCGGAAUCGCUAGUAAUCGUAGAUCAGAAUGCUACGGUGAAUACGUUCCCGGGCCUUGUACACACCGCCCGUCACACCAUGGGAGUGGGUUGCAAAAGAAGUAGGUAGCUUAACCUUCGGGAGGGC